CGGAAAAAUCCAUUAAGCUCAGAUUCAGCCUCACCAACGCGAGCAAAACAGCUUUUAUUAACGCCUUAGCUGCGAUGGGGGAGAACUCCAGGCUGUCAGCUGUGACUGCAGGAAGGCUCUGGGUGCUGUGCUCAGGAUGCAUAAUAAAAAAGGAUGAGGAAUUGCACGUCAACAUGUCAGUGGAAAGUGAGGACACGAGAUAUUGUUUACCAACGUUGUGCUUCAGUCAGGAUGGAAAAGCUGUCAAAUGGGAAGGAUGGAACAGAGCUUGAGUUUCUCUCUGGUUGGGCUUUCCUGUCCCUCCAUGAUUUCUUUUUUUUCCCCUUCUUUCAUGCUGGGCAGCACUGGGUUGCUCUGGUUGUGUUUGGCAGAGGCCAUAGGAGCCCCAUUAUGACUCCUAGUUCUGUGCCACCUCCUGUGCCAGCUGUGCUGUGACCUUGCUGUGACCAUCCCACGCCAUGCAUGUCCCCUCUGCCACACAGCCACCAGACGGGGUUGGUGUCAGCUCUGCUCUGCUCAGCUCAAAUGUGUGCAGACGUUUCCUCUCCUGCUUCAUUUUACAGUGCUCUUCAGGAUAAAUUUCCAUUAUGUGUUUGGGCAGAUGCUGAGCAUAGCCCCAGUUUAAUCAGGGAUGCAAGGAGACAGCAUCCUCACACCUUGCAGAAGCUGCGAUCUCCUGAUCUUCUCUGCCAGAAAUGCAGCAGGAGCAGAAAGAAAGCAUCACUCGCUGCUGGGCAGCAGCUUUCUCUAUCAUCAGCCUUGCUGGCCUUCCACCUCUGCGUGGGCUUCAUUUAGCAGGAACAAAAAUCACCCCCUGGUUUGUAGGAUUUUCCUGGAAAGAAGAUUCCCAGCACAUAAGAGAGUUUACAGAGCCUACAGAGAAGCUCUGAGGCUUCUUCAAAAAAAUUCCAUGCAGGCUGGGAGAGAUGUUUUGAACGGAGAAUGA
RNAcentral lists this long non-coding RNA (946 nucleotides) under Phasianus colchicus (ring-necked pheasant). RNAcentral's name for it is "lncRNA (ENSPCLG00000006110.1)". Lineage: Eukaryota; Metazoa; Chordata; Aves; Galliformes; Phasianidae. The record is from RNAcentral.